RNAcentral lists this ribosomal RNA (253 nucleotides) under uncultured bacterium. Its description in RNAcentral is "partial 16S ribosomal RNA". It matches the Rfam family "Bacterial small subunit ribosomal RNA", at positions 524 to 776 of the family's 1533-position model. The record is from RNAcentral.
UACAGAGGGGGCAAGCGUUGUUCGGAAUUACUGGGCGUAAAGGGCGCGUAGGCGGCCUGCUAAGUCGAACGUGAAAUCCCCGGGCUCAACCUGGGAACGGCAUUUGGGACUGCAAGGCUGGAGUGCGGCAGAGGAGACUGGAAUUCCUGGUGUAGCAGUGAAAUGCGUAGAUAUCAAGAGGAACACCAGUGGCGAAGGCGAGUCCCUGGACGAUACCUGACACUGAGGCACGAAAGCCAAGGGAGCAAACAGG